GGUGUUUGCCUGUAACUUGAACUCUCAUAUUCAACCAUCUGUAACGCUGCAAUAACCUUUACACCCUGAGCUGCUGCUCUGUGAUCAGAUGAGUUCAUUAAUUAAUAGUGGUGAAGUGUAGGGCAAGUGUAUUAGUAACUGACCCUGAGUCAGAUGGUAACCAGAGUCCAGCUGGAACAAGGUGGACCAACCCCAGCCUCCAAAUUCACAACAAGCCAGGGACUACCUGAUCGAGUAAUGAGACACCAAGGCACUCACGUAUGCGCAUAAAACCCUGAGACAGUCGUACUCAUGCUGGUUGUCAGGGUGGCAGAUAAGGUACUGAGAAGAGAAGAAGAAACAAUUGCUUAAUAGUUAAAUACUGUUUGUGGUUUGUUUAGCUUUUGGGGGGGGUUUUCCCCUUUUUUUUGUUUGUUUGUUUUUUUCAAUGAGAGAAUAAUGUGUUAACAGAUUGAUCAAUUCACCAAGAAGGCUGACACAUUAUGGAUUUCUAACGACGAGCCUCGGAUAAGCUGUUGAUCUGGUUGCUUCAGGAAACCGCUAUUGCAUUAAUGAAAUAAUUGUUAUGGGUGGAACCAAAAGUCUUUCCUGGGUAUGAAGAUUUUUUUUCACACAUCACAUCGCAACUUGGCAACUUGGCCUGUUCAUGUGCCUUUAAAUGAUAUGAAUACCUAAAUGGCAGUAGCUCCGACUCCAGUGCUGGAUGAUCCACAAGAAAGUACCACGCAUUUAUUGCUGUGUUAGGAAACCACAUAUCUGCCUGAUGUUAGAGCCUUCAGGAUUUAUUUUAUUUAUUCUCUUGGUCAUUUCUGAAUCUGCCAGCAUGCAUGGACUACCUUGCUCAUCUCUAGGUCAUUGUUUUGGUAAUCCAGCUGAUGUUAACACUGACCCUGCACCGUCUAUGGAGGCAAACAACUCCAGGCAAAGCAGUAAUAACCAUGAACUUCCAGCAGCAGAUCCAGUUAUAUCUCAGCCAGAAGCCCUACCAGACAGCCCGCAGGAACUUCAGCACAAACACCUUCAGAGGGCUGGC
Molecule: long non-coding RNA, 1033 nt
Organism: Astatotilapia calliptera (eastern happy)
Lineage: Eukaryota; Metazoa; Chordata; Actinopteri; Cichliformes; Cichlidae
Source: Ensembl